GCCUGUGUGCUGUAGUGGUUUAAGCACUGGACUACAACACUGGAGACCAGGGUUCAAAUCCCCACUUGGCCA
RNAcentral lists this transfer RNA (72 nucleotides) under Phrynosoma platyrhinos (Desert horned lizard). RNAcentral's name for it is "tRNA-OTHER". The record is from RNAcentral. Lineage: Eukaryota; Metazoa; Chordata; Lepidosauria; Squamata; Phrynosomatidae.